Long non-coding RNA from Capsicum annuum, 2419 nucleotides. RefSeq lists it as uncharacterized. The transcript has 2 exons. NCBI's taxonomy places the organism in Eukaryota, Viridiplantae, Streptophyta, Magnoliopsida, Solanales, Solanaceae. The record is from RefSeq and is a predicted model, not a curated record.
AAAUAAGGGCCAGGGUGAUGGAACCCAUUUAUGUUUAGCAUAUACCUGUUAUCCCUUUUUUCAAGUUUUGAGUUGAGUAGUAUAACUCUCUCAAAUUGAUAAAAUGUUUGUGCAGUUAUUUAUUUCUUUUCAUUAUGUGAUCAUAAGUCACUGAAAUGUUUGAGAUUGGAUUAGUGAACGUGGUCGUUUUACCUUUUCAUUAGGUCUUUUGUAUGAAUUAUGUUUAUUCUCCACUUCUUAAGUAGUAGUCUCACCAGAUCAUGCUUAUGGUAUAAUUCUUGGCGGUACAAAUGGUCACUAGUAAGACAUUUGUGUUUAUAAUUAAAAUAGUUAUCUUUAGCAAAAGCUGAAACUGUUGUUCGACUUAUUCUGGUACAAGUUUCAUACGUGGUAAAUAGGCUAAAUUCCUAAUUUUGUUGCUCAAGAAUAUAUAUAUAUAUAUAAUAUAAGCACUGGUUUCGACCAGCUUCAUUAAUUUACCAUUUUACCCCUAAUUAUUCCAUAAUUUAUUAUAUUAUUCCUAAUUAAUUAUUAUAAGUCAUUUAUAUAUUAGAAUUAAUAAUAUUUAAUUUAAAAAAUAAAUAUUUAUGAUGUUUGUUUCAGUUGCUUCAUUCGUGAUUUUACUAUAUCAUUCCUAAUUAAUUAUUAUAAGUCAUUUAUGUAUUAAAAAAUUAAUAGUAUUUAAUUUAAAAAAUAGAUGACAUGUCUGUUGCAGCUGCUUCAACCAUAAUUUUGCUAAAUAUCGCUCAUAACUAAUCAUUAUGAGUCAUCCAAGUGUUAAAAGUUUAAUAAUAUUUUUUUAAAAAAUAAAAUAGACAUAAAAUGAUAAAUUAACUCUUGAUGUAUUAAAUUAAGUUGACCUCCUUCAACUGAUAUUUUACCGUAUCACCCCUAAUUAAUUAUUAUAAGUCAUGUAUAUAUUAAAAAAACUAUAAUAUUUAUUUAAUUAAAAUAUUGGUUUUGACAUGGUUGCUUCAAAAGUUGCACCAUGAUUUUACUAUAUCACCCCUAAUUAAUUAUUAUAAGUCAUUUAUGUAUUAAAAGAAUAAUAGUAUUUAAUUAAAACAAAAAAAAUAUGUGUUUAUGACAUGUUCGUUGCAGCUGCUUCAACUAUAAUUUUACUAAAUCAUAAAAAAGAUGGUUUGACAUAGGAUAAAAAUGACAUAACAAAUUUAUCUAAAGGUAAUUUGGUCAUUCACUUCAAACACAUUGGGUAAUUUUCUACCAAACACUUGGAAAUACCAUCAAUCAACAAUAUAAAAUAUCUGCUGACUCUAUUUCCACGCAUACCCUUUCUUUGCCGUUGAAAAUUUUUCGCAAAUUUAUAUUUCUCUUACGCCUUAAUUUCUGGUAAAUUAUCUUCAUUUCACCGCCUUAAUUUCUAGUAAAUUCAAGCUUUGUAAAUUGGGGAGAUUUGGGAAUCUUCAUUUCACUACCUUAAUUUUUGGUAAAUUCAAGUAUGAACUAUAUGUUACUGUUGUGAUAGUGUUAAUUUUCAGCGUGCUUAUGAAUUUGAUUCCGGUCUGAACUAUAUGUUACUGUGUUGUUGCUUUUACUUCUUUUUUGUUGUUACAUGUGAAGUGGUAGUGUUUCCUGUUCUUGAUAUUUUGGGGAAUUUUCAAGAUUUCAUCUAAUUUUCAGUUUUUGGAGUCCUAUCAAAAGUGAAGUUGAGUGAUAGUGGAGUUUUAAUGCACCGAGUUGUCCUUUUCUAACAUUUCAACUGAUUUUCAGCUUUUGAGGUUUCAUCAAAAGUGAAGUUCAGUGGUAGGAUAGACCCUUAGUGGUUCGAACUCUUUUCUGAAUCCUGCACGUAACAGGAGUUUUAGUGCACUGAGCGGCCCUUUUCAAAAUUUCAACUGAUUUUUAGCUUUUAGAGUUUCAUCAAAGGUGAAAUUGAGCAUAUAACGAGAGUUUUAGUGCAACGACCUGUGCUUUUCAAGAUUUAAACUGAUUUUCAGUUUCUGGGGUUUCAUUAGAAGUGAGGUUGAGCUCUAUAUUUGUUGAAAUGAUUGAUUCUUUUUUUUUUUUCUGAGUUCUUGAUAUGCUUUAUAGUUAUGUAAAUCCACUGAAAGAUUGUUUCUUUUUUGGAAUUGUUUUGAUUCACUGGAGAGCUCCAACACUUAUAGUAUAGUAUAUAAAGGGUUCUUGAAAUUUGUUCAAGAUUUUUGUAGGGGCAGGGAGUUUUAGGAGAUUCAACCAAAGAACUAAUUGCUCGAUCCGAGGGGCCUCCAAAAAUAGCCUCUUCAUCUCCACGAGGUAGUGCAGGUCUCAGUCAUACAUUUGCAGAGCCCAACCUGAGGAUGCUUCAACUCUUUUUUUGUAUCUAUGUAAAUUAUAUGUACAGUAUCAUUUUGCAAAACCUGGCUCCUUAAUGUUCACAUAUAUAUAUAUAUAUAAUAUAUUACAAGUGUGAAGACCC